UGUUGUAAGGAGGGCAGGGCAACAAGGACCGGUCUGUGCAUAUAGCCGCCGAUGCAGGUCCAGUUGUCCGUCCCCCUCUGAGCCGCUCCCUAGUUACCUCCCAACAGCACAGGCCGGUACCUGGUCCGAUGGCCGCGGCGACGACCACCGCGACCGGACGCGGCGGCGGCGACGGCACCCGCUCACGUCCCACCACGUGCACCCUCUCCGCGUGGCCGCCUCGUACGACCGGUUACCGGAGCCGCGCUGCGGGGGGUACCCCACCUUGUCGACCUUAGUGAAGCCCACGCUGCCGUUGCCGCUCCAACAGUAGUCCCUCUGGCGGCUACGCGAACACAGGUGGCCCGAGCGGCGACAGCCGAUGUUUAUGCAGUUGGAACUACUAACGACCCGUCUUGGGCUUGCACUACGCUUCCCGUUGGAACGCCGCUUGUUCUUCUGCAAUGGGGUGCCCUAUUUCCGUGAGCGUCUGAUACAGGUGUCGUUCCCCGAGUUCGAGCCGUAGAUGAGGCUACGACCUAUGUUCUGUACGCGGUUCCGAGUUGGGCCUAGGGAGCCGGUGCUCCUCGUCCUGCGGUUUUGGAAACGCAGGACCCCGUAGCUGAUGGAGUUCAUGCUGUUGACGUUGUUGCCGCUGUGCUUCGGCGACGUCUCCAUGGGACUGUACUCGUUCCGAGACUACGUCCGGCCGGCGGGGUAGAAGAAGUUGGAGACGCUUACCCCGCUGUACGUGGGCCGCGCCACCCCGCGCCGCAUGCCGUUGUCGACCUCUUGGUGGUUGCUGUAGCUCCUGUGGACCUUGUCGUACUACAGCUCCCGCCUGGUCUUGCUCCACACCCGGCUCAUGCGCGCGGGGCCGCCGACCUUGCUGGGGCUGUACGACCUCCACCCGUUGCCUCCCUACUGGUUGCUGCUCAUGUAGCACGUGAAGUCGUAGACCCGCUAGAGUUUCCGCGGAGACUAGUAGCCGACGCUGCACUCCGUGUACAGCGUCCUGUGCAUGCUGUAGGAGCGGUUGUUCCUCCACUAGCGGCAGUUGGUUCUAGGAGAGCCGUAGGUCCCCUUCUUUCACUCCUACCUCCCCUCGUCACUCUAGACCCGACCCGGAGACUGCCCCAUGUCCUGCCGCCACGACGACGACUUGGCCGUGCUGUUCCUGCUCCGGGUCUAGUGCCGCGUGACCCUGCUGUAGCCGGAGGGGCGGCCGUGGCGUCAGCUCCGGUCCCUGGAGACCUACGUGUUCUGCGAGCUGUGGUUCAAGUGCCUGUUCUACUCGAAGUUGCACUGCGGCGUACGCCGGUCCUACAAGUACGAGUGCGGAGAGUUCAGGGUCUACCUAAUUCCUUUUUGCUGUACCCAACUACGGGCGAGGUUUUCGAGGUUUUAACUAAUAUGUUUAUGUCAUGUAAAAAAGUAUGAAGAUUAAAGGCAUUAUUAAACCUGUAUCAAAAAAUCGCACAUUAUUAAAAAAACUCUUGAAGAUGAUCACACAUUAUUCCAGACCCGUGAAAGCCAAGGACCAUUCCAGUUUUGAAAACACACCUUUCACAAUGUACCUCGGUAAGGGCAAUUUAGUUGGGACUGCCUAGCAGUAUAACCCUGCCUGCUGGCCACAGGUCAAACAGUACUAGUAGGCCUUCUGGACUUUGUGAACGAUAAACUUACGCGUGGUCGUUUUUGCUACACCGUGUUUGGGUUCGGAGAUAAGGUCCGUUUCUAAAACGAGAUUUCAAAUCGGUGAACACACUUUUACUACAUACCACUUAUGGCGUACACUGUGCACGAUAAACAAACCAUGGACCACCACAUCUUGACGAAACAUCUAAAUUCCAAAGCAAAAUUUAAAAAACUUGAACACACGACUUAAGAACCCACGCCAACCCACGCCAAUCGCUAAACCCACCGGACCAGUUGGAACGUAAAACAGACAUCUAUAACAUCCCGCCACCGGCAAACCUACACGUACGUACGUAGCACUCCUCAACCAAGAGUCAAACCGAAACACGUACGUAGCCAACCCAUCUGCCAACACUCAAAUAAAAACGGUACCAGACAGAUAACGUUCAAAAAAAAUCCUAGACAGAUAACGUUCAAAACUUUGCACUAUCCAACCCACAACGACCACGGUAGAGCUAUCAGGCUACCCACCAUGAAAGACCUCAAAGGUGGCCUGAUAUUUAUGCCCUAAAAAAAAAUUCAACGUAAGCUAACGAUCGUCGUACGUUACAAAGUACCGGUAGCCGCGACCUGUACGCUGCUCAGAUUGGACGAUCUGCAGCGGCAAGUACGGUAGUAGCCGCCGGGGAGCCGCUACCUCAUGUGUGACAACCUGUCGUUCCACGCACCAUGGCCCCGGCCGGCGGUCGUUCGCUACACCCAGAGCUGCCGGAAGACGCCAAGUGGCUGCUUCGGAAGGCUGUUCUUCUUCAGGUCCACUCCAACUAAAGAGGCCCACGCUGCCACCGUUGACGCCCUCCGGAGGUCUGACACACCGGCCUUCGCCACAACGACUGCAAGCCGCUCCGGGGCUACCGCGCGCCGCCUCGAGCGCGAGCCGCCGGUACCACUGCCGGUCGCGUCCCGUGCGCGCUGAGACGCUACCGCUCGUGCUCCUGUGCCUCCUCGAGUACGUCGCGCAGUGCCGCCACGUCCAGCUGUCACCCACCACCCACGAACGCCGCCACGUACAAGUCCGCCUCGAGCGCCUCGUUACUGACGAUCACGCACGUACGCCACCGGCAAUCUCGUGCGCAUCCGCAGAGUCUCUCGCACUCCUUAACCUUCGCCUGCCAACGAUCCCGUCGGCUACGGACGACGUCGCGUUCCUUGAGCUGCUCGAGUCCGCCCUAGCCCGGUCUCUCGUCGCGGCACAUCUACCGUUCGCAUAGGUCGAUGUCCAAGAGUUCAGUAGUUCCACUACCGCGGUACGACGUCACAGGCGCGCUACCUCUUCUGCCAAGUGACUUACUUGGAGACGAGGAUGAAGGGCCCCAGCGGCACAACUGGCGAGGUUCUUCUCUGAGUUCAUGCGGUAGUAGCGACAAACCGUGUAACAUGAACAUGCGCGGGUGCAGAUUGGAGGAUAGGAAUAAGAGA
RNAcentral lists this ribosomal RNA (3096 nucleotides) under Triticum aestivum (bread wheat). RNAcentral's name for it is "partial small subunit ribosomal RNA". Lineage: Eukaryota; Viridiplantae; Streptophyta; Magnoliopsida; Poales; Poaceae. The record is from RNAcentral.